RNAcentral lists this long non-coding RNA (305 nucleotides) under Phasianus colchicus (ring-necked pheasant). RNAcentral's name for it is "lncRNA (ENSPCLG00000005836.1)". Lineage: Eukaryota; Metazoa; Chordata; Aves; Galliformes; Phasianidae. The record is from RNAcentral.
AAAUGCUGUUCUAUAAAACUGACUCACAUUUGUUCACUCUCAUGUGAGAAUGACCACUGACUAUGGACUACUACUGUCCUAAGGAAAAUAAAAUUAAUGUCAUGCAAAUGGAGAAUUGGAGUACAAAUUUAGGUGUGGCUGAAACACACAGGUCUGAAUAUCGAUGAACUGGUAGACUACAAUUACAAGGAUGAGUUUUGAAGCAGUGUGGAUAAGAGCUUCAAGGACCAUCGCCUGUAGUGCAGACGAAGGAGUUUAAGCAGCCUGAGACUUAGUGCUGCAGUGUCUGUAUAACUGAAGAUUUC